RNAcentral lists this ribosomal RNA (484 nucleotides) under uncultured bacterium. RNAcentral's name for it is "partial 16S ribosomal RNA". It matches the Rfam family "Bacterial small subunit ribosomal RNA", at positions 28 to 523 of the family's 1533-position model. The record is from RNAcentral.
GACGAACGCUGGCGGCGUGCUUAACACAUGCAAGUCGAACGAUGAAGCCGGAGCUUGCUCUGGUGAAUUAGUGGCGAACGGGUGAGUAACACGUGAGUAACCUGCCCUUGACUCUGGGAUAACUGCUAGAAAUGGUAGCUAAUACCGGAUACGACCCUCGGCGGCAUCGCCAGGGGGUGGAAAGAAUUUCGGUCAAGGAUGGACUCGCGGCCUAUCAGCUAGUUGGUGAGGUAACGGCUCACCAAGGCGACGGCGGGUAGCCGGCCUGAGAGGGUGACCGGCCACACUGGGACUGAGACACGGCCCAGACUCCUACGGGAGGCAGCAGUGGGGAAUAUUGCACAAUGGGCGCAAGCCUGAUGCAGCAACGCCGCGUGAGGGAUGACGGCCUUCGGGUUGUAAACCUCUUUUAGUAGGGAAGAAGCGAUAGUGACGGUACCUGCAGAAAAAGCACCGGCUAACUACGUGCCAGCAGCCGCGGUAA